RNAcentral lists this ribosomal RNA (254 nucleotides) under uncultured bacterium. RNAcentral describes it as "partial 16S ribosomal RNA". It matches the Rfam family "Bacterial small subunit ribosomal RNA", at positions 524 to 776 of the family's 1533-position model. The record is from RNAcentral.
UACGUAGGCAGCGAGCGUUGUUCGGAGUUACUGGGCGUAAAGGGUGUGUAGGCGGUUGUUUAAGUUUGGUGGGAAAUCUCCCGGCUCAACUGGGAGGGUGCGCCGAAUACUGAAUGACUUGGAGUGCGGGAGAGGUGAGUGGAAUUCCUGGUGUAGCGGUGAAAUGCGUAGAUAUCAGGAGGAACACCGGUGGUGUAGACGGCUCACUGGACCGUAACUGACGCUGAGACACGAAAGCGUGGGUAGCAAACAGG